RNAcentral lists this RNase P RNA (402 nucleotides) under Actinomycetes bacterium. RNAcentral describes it as "RNase P RNA component class A". It matches the Rfam family "Bacterial RNase P class A". From Rfam's summary of the family: Ribonuclease P (RNase P) is a ubiquitous endoribonuclease, found in archaea, bacteria and eukarya as well as chloroplasts and mitochondria. Its best characterised activity is the generation of mature 5'-ends of tRNAs by cleaving the 5'-leader elements of precursor-tRNAs. The record is from RNAcentral. Lineage: Bacteria; Bacillati; Actinomycetota; Actinomycetes.
CGAGUCGGCAGGGCGAUCGCGGCCGUUGCGACGGCCGAGGAAAGUCCGGACUCCACAGGGCAUGACGCUGGGUAACACCCAGGCGGGGAGACCCGAUGGAUAGUGCAACAGAGAGCAGACCGCCGAUGGAGCGAACUCUUUGAGUUCGUUGGCGGAACCUCCGGUUCCGCUCGCGGAUUCGCGGUGAACGUUCACAGGCAAGGGUGAAACGGUGGGGUAAGAGCCCACCAGCGAUUCGGGUGACCGGGUCGGCUAGGUAAACCCCGUCAGGAGCAAGACCGAGCAGGGAUAGGGCUGCCCGCCCGCUACAUCCCGGGUAGGUCGCUUGAGGCCGUGCGGUAACGCCGGUCCCAGAUAGAUGAUCGUCCACGACAGGAUCCGGCUUACAUGCCGACUCGCAUU